AAGAGACCGGAGCUCCGUUAGAAGCACGAUGGCCCAGGCUGCCUAUUGUAUCCCGGACCCGCUGUGAGAAAACCUGGAGGCACAUGUGAGUGCAUACUUUCCCCUGCACAAGAGAUGAAGCCAUCUCCCACUGCACCGCCGGGCCCCGCAUACCGGGAGGAGAUUGCAGCACCUAGCAGAUAAAGCCUGGCCGCAUCCCGGGGAAGCGGUGCGCAGACCUGAAUCCCCUGUCCACUGCCAGCCACAUCAGAAGUACAAUGGGCAAGUGACAAGAGAGAGCACAGAUGGGGGCGAGGAGACCAGCUUGGCUGAUGUGAGGCAAUGAGGCAAGGAGAAAACUGAACAGGGAUGCUACUAUGAGCCUAUGGAAAUAUUUAUGGAACAGUUGGAAUUUCUGUCAGGAACUGGUCAUGUAUACCAGUCCUCCCGUAUUCUGCACAUGCCUGGGCUAUGGUUAAGGUUGACAAGACAGUAGAUACUUCUCAUCAAAAGAACACUCAAGAUGUUACAAAAAAAUCACGCAUCCAAGUCAACCAAAGUUGGGCUUCAUAAUAGAAAAAGCAGAGCCCAGAUUCCAAUUUUACUGAAAACCACUGAGAUGACCUAAACAGGGCUGUGCACGAGAUCCCCUUGCAAUUUAAUGGAACUUUGUUGCUGGGAAGAGUGAUAUAGAAUUGCAAAGUUCAGGUGUAAAGUUGAUAAGAGAUAUAUUCAAAAAGACUUACUGCUAUAAUAAAAACAAAAUGGUGCUUCCACACAGAAUUAGUCUAGGUGUGUACACACUUAUAGACCCGGGGUAGUGUGUUUUUUUGGUUUUUUUUUUACGUGUUUCCUAAAAAUUGUGUAUUUUUUUUAUUCAACUGCAUUUGUUGGUUAGAAGGCAACAUUAAAAAGUAGGAAUAAAUCUGACAUGGUUUAAGCUUGAUUUCAGAAUGCUGGUAUUAAACAAUCUACAUAACCCA
This is a long non-coding RNA of Pseudophryne corroboree (corroboree frog), 962 nucleotides long. RefSeq lists it as uncharacterized. Lineage: Eukaryota; Metazoa; Chordata; Amphibia; Anura; Myobatrachidae. The transcript is spliced from 2 exons. The record is from RefSeq and is a predicted model, not a curated record.